CCUACGGGAGGCAGCAGUGAGGAAUAUUGGUCAAUGGACGAGAGUCUGAACCAGCCAAGCAGCGUGAAGGAUGACUGCCCUAUGGGUUGUAAACUUCUUUUAUCUGGGAAUAAAACAGGGUAUGCAUACCCUCUUGUAUGUACCAUAUGAAUAAGGAUCGGCUAACUCCGUGCCAGCAGCCGCGGUAAUACGGAGGAUCCGAGCGGUAUCCGGAUUUAUUGGGUUUAAAGGGAGCGUAGGUGGAUUGUUAAGUCAGUUGUGAAAGUUUGGGGCUCAACCGUAAAAUUGCAGUUGAAACUGGCAGUCUUGAGUACAGUAGAGGUGGGUGGAAUUCGUGGUGUAGCGGUGAAAUGCUUAGAUAUCACGAAGAACUCCGAUGGCGAAGGCAGCUCACUGGACUGCAACUGACACUGAGGCUCGAAAGUGUGGGUAGCAAACAGGAUUAGAUACCCUAGUAGUC
Molecule: ribosomal RNA, 460 nt
Filed under: uncultured bacterium
Lineage: Bacteria
Description: partial 16S ribosomal RNA
Rfam family: Bacterial small subunit ribosomal RNA
Source: RNAcentral